Long non-coding RNA from Mytilus californianus (California mussel), 1075 nucleotides. RefSeq lists it as uncharacterized. The transcript has 4 exons. The record is from RefSeq and is a predicted model, not a curated record. Lineage: Eukaryota; Metazoa; Mollusca; Bivalvia; Mytilida; Mytilidae.
ACAUUUUUGUCGAGUCUGCAACUUCUGUCGCAGAAAGCUCAACAAAGUGAUAGUGAUCUGGCGACGACGCCCACUCCGGCGUUAACAAACUUCUUAAAACGUAAUAUUUCAGAAGGUAGAAGACUUGGAUCCUUCAUACUUUGUAUAUAUAACUACAUAAGGGAAGUGACAAUGUCAAAAAAAUUUGAAAGAAUAUUUGUUAAAAUGCAGAGAAGAAAAUUUACAACUUAGCCAAAGAAAAGUAAAUCAGAAUAAUUUAAUAACAUGUAGGUCCAAUGAAGAAGAGGAAGAAAAAAGAAAAAGAGGCCUAAAUGAAGGUGGAAAAAAAAGGAAAAUGGAAAACAGUAAACAUGAUAAAGGGACAAACACUAUAAUGACAGCACAGGCAGGAAACAAAAUAAGAGGAUUAGAUGAAAAGGAAAUAAAAAUAUUGGAGAAGGCGAAAAAAAUUGUAGAUGAUAAAGAGGACAAUAUGGAGACAGUUAUAAAAUAUCUAUACAAUAUUCAGAAACGGAGAAAAUAUCAAUUAAGAGAGGAGAAAAAAUUUAAAAUGUCUAUUUCCAAAAGAAUUGCUGACAUUAAGGUAUAGUUAUUUUUUAUUGUAAUAUACAUGGAUUUUCAGAUGACAUUAAGGAAUAGUUAUUUUAUAUUGUAAUAUACAUAGAUUUUUCUUACUAUAUGGUUUAAUAAGAUAUUUAUUUGCAAACAUAAGCUUAUUAUAUAUUAUAAAUAUAUUAGACAAAAAUGUUUUUUAAAUAUAUUCAUACAAAAAUGUUUGUAUUUAAAAACCAUGUCAGGUACCACUUGAUGAAAAGAGGGUGUGGCAUUAUGUAUGAACUACUGGGAUUUUACAUAUUAACAUAAAUAAAAAAAUUAAGCAUUUGAAAGAAACAUUGCUAUGAAAAUAUUAAUGAAUCUGAAUACCUACAUGUUUUAAGAAAAAUAGUGUACCUUAUUGCUAUUGUUAUCCAUUAUAUAAAAGAAAACUGAUAUUUUGAUGUUAAACUGUAGAGUUUUCAUUAUGUUACACAGUAGAUUUUUCAUAACUGACAAUUAAUAAAGAUAUGUGAUCUAU